This 273-nucleotide ribosomal RNA is filed under the name uncultured bacterium. RNAcentral describes it as "partial 16S ribosomal RNA". It matches the Rfam family "Bacterial small subunit ribosomal RNA", at positions 524 to 796 of the family's 1533-position model. The record is from RNAcentral.
UACGAAAGGUGCAAGCGUUACUCGGAAUCACUGGGCGUAAAGCGCACGUAGGCGGAUUCGCAAGUCAAUUGUGAAAGCCCCAGGCUCAACCUGGGAAUUGCAGUUGAAACUGCGUUUCUUGAAUAUCUGAGAGGGUGGGGGAAUACCUAGUGGAGAAGUGAAAUUCGUAGAGAUUAGGUGGAACACCAGAGGCGAAGGCGCCUGCCUGGCAGAAUAUUGACGCUGAGGUGCGAAAGUGUGGGGAGCAAACAGGAUUAGAAACCCCGGUAGUCC